CUGACUCCAUCCCGAACUCAGAAGUGAAACGAAACAGCGUCGAUGGUAGUGUGGGGUUUCCCCAUGUGAGAGUAGAACAUCGCCAGGC
Molecule: ribosomal RNA, 88 nt
Filed under: Vibrio cholerae
Lineage: Bacteria; Pseudomonadati; Pseudomonadota; Gammaproteobacteria; Vibrionales; Vibrionaceae
Source: RNAcentral